Molecule: unclassified non-coding RNA, 214 nt
Filed under: plant metagenome
Description: partial contains small subunit ribosomal RNA, internal transcribed spacer 1, and 5.8S ribosomal RNA
Rfam family: Eukaryotic small subunit ribosomal RNA (bases 1-54)
Source: RNAcentral
GGAAGUAAAAGUUGUAACAAGGUUUCCGUAGGUGAACCUGCGGAAGGAUCAUUAACGAGUAAAGUCCUUCGGGACUUUCUUAUCCAAACACCUGUGAAAAUUAAUUUUUGCUUUGGGAAUUUAAUUAUUCCCAACAAUCAAAACCACUAAGUUGUCUUUUGUCUGAAUGAUUAUUUAAAAAUCAAAGCUUUCAACAACGGAUCUCUUGGUUCUC